Cephus cinctus (wheat stem sawfly) is the source of this 1500-nucleotide long non-coding RNA. RefSeq lists it as uncharacterized. The record is from RefSeq and is a predicted model, not a curated record. The transcript has 2 exons. Lineage: Eukaryota; Metazoa; Arthropoda; Insecta; Hymenoptera; Cephidae.
CUUUGUGACUGAAUUUCCGAAAUUCACGUCACAAUGGUUAUGCUCUUCAUACAGUAUAUGGUUGGUCAUUGUAUCUAAUCGGUGCCAUUUGGAACUCCGUCACUCAACUAUUAUUACAUCUCGCCAACAAAGUGAAGAAUCCACCUAAUACUCAAGGGAAAUCCGAUGUGGAACAGGGACUUCCAAAAGAAGGGUCCCAACCAAAAGGAGAAGAUGACCAAGAGUUAUCAAUCGUCCGUAACCAACGGAAGUCCCAAUCUUCACAGGAGGAAUCAACAUCAUCAGCAUCUACCAAAAUAGAUACAACCUCCGUAAAAUCAUGGCACAUCUACGACACCAUGAUUUCGCUCUCCAUGCAAAGGUGAUUAAGACCCCAGACCUGGGAGGACAUUUUUUGGGGAUAGUAUCCUCAAUUUCAUCACCAACGUCCUUCUGGGUACAGCCACAUGGGCUGAAAGAAAAGGGGCUACUCAUGGACAACCUGCUCCGCACUUACUAUGGGCAGGUCCAAGGUGCCCUACGGCCCAUGAAUUCGGAGGAAUCCAGAUGGAAGCUCCUGGGUCACACUAUAUUACCUGCGCAUGGAGCCCACUAUUCAACAACUAAUAAUUGAAGCUGACCUAGGCCAGAUAGGUCAGAGGGGAACCACCAUUGAGGAAGGUGAAUUCCUCGAUGAUGAAUGGAACUCCUUUGAGGAAGCCGACUCUGGUCUAGAGGACGAUUGAACAAUGUCAGCAGGAAAGUGUGUGUACAGUGUAUAUACUUUUAAAUUUCUAGCACCGUUAUUAAUGCAGUUACCAUUGUCAUUGACAUUAUUAUUCUGAUAUCUUUAUUAGUGUUACAAUUAUUGUUGGUAUAUGCUCUAUUAUUAUUAUUAUUAUUAUUAUUAUUAUUAUUAUUAUUAUUAUUGUUUUAUUGCUAUUUUGAUGUCGUUGAGUUUUCUUAUAUUCUUUUACUCACUUACUUUGUUUAAUAUUAGAUUUAAUUAUUACAUUUUCGGUGUCUUUUUAGGUAUAAUUGAUUUUAUUAUUUUUAUGAUUGUAAUCCUGUUAUUAAUAUUGUAUAUAUGAAGGAUUAGAUGUCGGCCAAUUAAGUGAUUUAUUUUAAAGGGAAAUUCAAGCAUAAUUGUAUUAUAACUUCAUUAAACUUCUGGAAUGGUAACUUCUGGCUGCGACAUCUAACCUUCGAUCAGUUAUUGGGAAAUAACGCUUCCACUGAUACGAAUGUCCGGAUUGUACCCCCGACAUUCGUCUUAGGGGGGAGGUGUUACGUCCGCGUGGAAAAUCAGAUCCUACGUACAUGGUCUAUGACUAAGCAUCGGAAGACUAAACAGUGGGGUCUGGUUUUUAUCACAUAGCGACCGUAGGAAAUGGUUAUCUAGCAUAUGGGUUCUAGGUCUAUGGACAAUGAAGUGAACCUAAAGGACAAUGUUUAUAGAAUAUAUUUAGGCUAGGGUCUUGACUGUUAUUGGACGUUAUUUAUACGAUACAUGUGCGGACA